RNAcentral lists this non-coding RNA (182 nucleotides) under Cyanobium sp. M30B3. Its description in RNAcentral is "6S RNA". It matches the Rfam family "6S / SsrS RNA". From Rfam's summary of the family: E. coli 6S RNA was the first non coding RNA to be sequenced, but its function was unknown until recently. It consists of 184 nucleotides that fold into an extended hairpin structure with a large single-stranded internal bulge. The 6S RNA specifically associates with RNA polymerase holoenzyme containing the sigma70 specificity factor. The record is from RNAcentral. Lineage: Bacteria; Bacillati; Cyanobacteriota; Cyanophyceae; Synechococcales; Prochlorococcaceae.
GGCGGACUGCUGUGUUGGUGACUGCCUUCUACAGUUUUCUGAUCUGACUCCCCUUUCGACAUGGGGGUCUGCAGCGGAAGCAACGUAGGCCGGCCCUCGAGCUGGAAACGGCGCCCCGCCCUUGACCCCCUUCUGGUUCCACCAGGUCGAACACUGGGGCAAGACGGCACGGCGGUCCACCC